AAACUGGAGAGUUUGAUCCUGGCUCAGAACUAACGCUAGCGGCGUGCCUAACACAUGCAAGUCGUACGAGAAAGUCGGCUUCGGUCGGCGAGUAAAGUGGCGCACGGGUGAGUAACGCGUGGAUAAUCUACCCUUGAGUUGGGAAUAACGUGCCGAAAGGUGCGCUAAUACCGAAUAAUACUGAGUGACUAAUGUUGCUUAGUCAAAGAAGGCCUCUGCUUGCAAGCUUUCGCUGAAGGAUGAGUCCGCGUACCAUUAGCUAGUUGGUAGGGUAAUGGCCUACCAAGGCAACGAUGGUUAGCUGGUCUGAGAGGAUGAUCAGCCACACUGGAACUGAGACACGGUCCAGACUCCUACGGGAGGCAGCAGUGAGGAAUAUUGCGCAAUGGGGGCAACCCUGACGCAGCAACGCCGCG
Molecule: ribosomal RNA, 416 nt
Filed under: Syntrophaceae bacterium
Lineage: Bacteria; Pseudomonadati; Thermodesulfobacteriota; Syntrophia; Syntrophales; Syntrophaceae
Description: bacterial SSU rRNA
Rfam family: Bacterial small subunit ribosomal RNA
Source: RNAcentral